GCAAGAUCUGGUUCAUGACAUCUUUUAACCCUGGUCUGUCCAUAAGGAGGACAGAAUUGUUUCACAGCUUUUUCACUCUUUAUUUUAUUUUUGUUUUCCUCCAAUUCCCCGGUUUUCCUUGAUGCUUAUGGAGAUGGUAAAUCUCCAGAUAUAAACCAUAGGCAGUUUGUAAAACAAAAUAAUUAAAUAUUUAAUUAACUAUUUUUCAGAGCUCCAGUAUCUGCAAAACUGCAGUGCAUGCAGGAGUCCUUCCAGAUGAAAGUGGUGGUUUUGUGGACGUGAUGCCUGUAGAAAAGAAGAAAAUUUACGUUGGCUCCUUAAAGAAUGGAGUUCAGUCUGAGAGCUUGAAGAAUCCUUCAGAUGGAAACGCUUUCCGAAUUUUUGCUGUGAAGCCGUAAAUUCCCAGGGAAGGUGCAGGUUUCUUUGGGAGCAUGCUCUGUUGAUGUCCAGAGACAGGAAGGCUCCUCUGACAGCAUCAGCUCUGACUGUACCCUCCUUGCCGAUCUCUUUCAGGGAAUUAAAAAAGGGAAAAAAA
This is a long non-coding RNA of Athene cunicularia (burrowing owl), 535 nucleotides long. RefSeq lists it as uncharacterized. NCBI's taxonomy places the organism in Eukaryota, Metazoa, Chordata, Aves, Strigiformes, Strigidae. The record is from RefSeq and is a predicted model, not a curated record. The transcript is spliced from 2 exons.